Molecule: ribosomal RNA, 353 nt
Filed under: uncultured Streptococcus sp.
Lineage: Bacteria; Bacillati; Bacillota; Bacilli; Lactobacillales; Streptococcaceae
Description: bacterial SSU rRNA
Rfam family: Bacterial small subunit ribosomal RNA
Source: RNAcentral
AGGGUGACAGGUGGUGCAUGGUUGUCGUCAGCUCGUGUCGUGAGAUGUUGGGUUAAGUCCCGCAACGAGCGCAACCCUCGACCUUAGUUGCCAGCAUUCAGUUGGGCACUCUAGCGAGACUGCCGGUAAUAAACCGGAGGAAGGUGGGGAUGACGUCAAAUCAUCAUGCCCCUUAUGACCUGGGCUACACACGUGCUACAAUGGUUGGUACAACGAGUUGCGAGUCGGUGACGGCGAGCUAAUCUCUUAAAGCCAAUCUCAGUUCGGAUUGUAGGCUGCAACUCGCCUACAUGAAGUCGGAAUCGCUAGUAAUCGCGGAUCAGCACGCCGCGGUGAAUACGUUCCCGGGCCUU